RNAcentral lists this ribosomal RNA (433 nucleotides) under uncultured bacterium. RNAcentral describes it as "partial 16S ribosomal RNA". It matches the Rfam family "Bacterial small subunit ribosomal RNA", at positions 29 to 507 of the family's 1533-position model. The record is from RNAcentral.
AACGAACGCUGGCGGCAUGCCUAACACAUGCAAGUCGAACGAGACCUUCGGGUCUGGUGGCGCACGGGUGCGUAACGCGGGGGAACCGGCCCUUAGGUUCGGAAUACCACCCCUAAAGGGGGGCUAAUGUCGGGAAAUGUAUUCUGAUAAAAGAUACAUCGCCCUUGGGUGGGCCGGAGAUGGAUGAGCCAGUUGGGAGGGUAAAAGCCUACCAAGGCGACGAUCGAUAGCUGGUCUGAGAGGAAGAUACGCCACACUGGGACUGAGACACGGCCGAGACUCUUACGGGAGGCAGCAGUGGGGAAUAUUGCACAACGGGCGAAAGCCUGAUCCCGCACUGCCGCGUGAGUGAUGAAGGUCUUAGGGUUGUAAAGCUCUUUUACCCGGGAUGAUAAUGACAGUACCGGGAGAAUAAGCUCCGGCUAACUCCGUG